CCUACGGGGGGCAGCAGUGGGGAAUAUUGCACAAUGGGGGAAACCCUGAUGCAGCGACGCCGCGUGAGUGAAGAAGUAUUUCGGUAUGUAAAGCUCUAUCAGCAGGGAAGAUAAUGACAGUACCUGACUAAGAAGCCCCGGCUAACUACGUGCCAGCAGCCGCGGUAAUACGUAGGGGGCAAGCGUUAUCCGGAUUUACUGGGUGUAAAGGGAGCGUAGACGGAGUGGCAAGUCUGAAGUGAAAACCCUGGGCUUAACCUGGGGACUGCUUUGGAAACUGUUAAUCUAGAGUGUUGGAGAGGUAAGUGGAAUUCCUGGUGUAGCGGUGAAAUGCGUAGAUAUCAGGAAGAACACCGGAGGCGAAGGCGGCUUACUGGACAAUAACUGACGUUGAGGCUCGAAAGCGUGGGGAUCAAACAGGAUUAGAUACCCUGGUAGUC
This 440-nucleotide ribosomal RNA is filed under the name uncultured Oribacterium sp. RNAcentral describes it as "bacterial SSU rRNA". It matches the Rfam family "Bacterial small subunit ribosomal RNA", at positions 338 to 795 of the family's 1533-position model. Lineage: Bacteria; Bacillati; Bacillota; Clostridia; Lachnospirales; Lachnospiraceae. The record is from RNAcentral.